RNAcentral lists this ribosomal RNA (1297 nucleotides) under metagenome. Its description in RNAcentral is "bacterial LSU rRNA". It matches the Rfam family "Bacterial large subunit ribosomal RNA", at positions 1635 to 2925 of the family's 2925-position model. The record is from RNAcentral.
UACACGACCGUACCGCAAACCGACACUGGUGCGCGAGAUGAGUAUUCUAAGGCGCUUGAGAGAACUCAGGAGAAGGAACUCGGCAAAUUGACACCGUAACUUCGGAAGAAGGUGUGCCUUUAGUAGGUGAACCUGUACAAGGGGAGCCCAAUGAGGUUGCAAAAAAUCGGUGGCUGCGACUGUUUAAUAAAAACACAGCACUCUGCAAACACGAAAGUGGACGUAUAGGGUGUGACGCCUUCCCGGUGCUGGAAGAUUAAAUGAUGGGGUGCAAGCUCUUGAUUGAAGUCCCAGUAAACGGCGGCCGUAACUAUAACGGUCCUAAGGUAGCGAAAUUCCUUGUCGGGUAAGUUCCGACCUGCACGAAUGGCGUAACGAUGGCCACGCUGUCUCCUCCUGAGACUCAGCGAAGUUGAAAUGUUUGUGAUGAUGCAAUCUCCCCGCGGAAAGACGGAAAGACCCCAUGAACCUUUACUGUAGCUUUGUAUUGGACUUUGAACAGAUCUGUGUAGGAUAGGUGGGAGGCUUUGAAGUGUGGUCGCUAGAUCGCAUGGAGCCAACGUUGAAAUACCACCCUGGUGUGUUUGAGGUUCUAACCUAGGCCCGUAAUCCGGGUCGGGGACAGUGCAUGGUAGGCAGUUUGACUGGGGCGGUCUCCUCCCAAAGCGUAACGGAGGAGUUCGAAGGUACGCUAGGUACGGUCGGACAUCGUGCUAAUAGUGCAAUGGCAUAAGCGUGCUUAACUGCGAGACUGACAAGUCGAGCAGAUGCGAAAGCAGGACAUAGUGAUCCGGUGGUUCUGUAUGGAAGGGCCAUCGCUCAACGGAUAAAGGUACUCUGGGGAUAACAGGCUGAUACCGCCCAAGAGUUCAUAUCGACGGCGGUGUUUGGCACCUCGAUGUCGGCUCAUCUCAUCCUGGGGCUGUAGCCGGUCCCAAGGGUAUGGCUGUUCGCCAUUUAAAGAGGUACGUGAGCUGGGUUUAAAACGUCGUGAGACAGUUUGGUCCCUAUCUUCCGUGGGCGCUGCAGAUUUGAGGAAGCCUGCUCCUAGUACGAGAGGACCGGAGUGGACACACCUCUGGUGUAUCGGUUGUCACGCCAGUGGCAUUGCCGAGUAGCUAUGUGUGGAAGAGAUAACCGCUGAAAGCAUCUAAGCGGGAAACUCGUUUCAAGAUGAGAUCUGCCGGGGCCUUGAGCCCCCUAAAGAGUCGUUCAAGACCAGGACGUUGAUAGGUCGGGUGUGGAAGCGCAGUAAUGCGUUAAGCUAACCGAUACUAAUUGCUCGUGCGGCUUGAUC